Long non-coding RNA from Vigna radiata var. radiata (mung bean), 184 nucleotides. RefSeq lists it as uncharacterized. The record is from RefSeq and is a predicted model, not a curated record. NCBI's taxonomy places the organism in Eukaryota, Viridiplantae, Streptophyta, Magnoliopsida, Fabales, Fabaceae. The transcript is spliced from 3 exons.
GGAAAUUCAGUGAGAGAGUAUAUUAUUUUGUGGUUUCAACGGGGUUAUCAAAAGCUAGCUCCUUUGGGGAAGUCUCUGUAAACUUUUCUGAGUACGCUGAGGCUACGAAACCCUCCACUGUCUCUCUUCCCAUCAAGAAUUCUCAUUGUGAAGCCGUCUUGCAUGUGACAAUCCAGAGGCUGCC